Molecule: ribosomal RNA, 532 nt
Filed under: uncultured bacterium
Lineage: Bacteria
Description: bacterial SSU rRNA
Rfam family: Bacterial small subunit ribosomal RNA
Source: RNAcentral
AGAGUUUGAUCCUGGCUCAGGACGAACGCUGGCGGCGCGCUUAACACAUGCAAGUCGAGCGAUAACCAUGGCUUCGGCCAUGGGGAGAGCGGCGAACGGGUGAGUAACACGUGAGUGAUCUGCCCUCGACACUGGGAUAGCCCGGGGAAACCCGGAUUAAUACCGGAUAGCCUUUCGAGCCCACGGGCUCGUCAGAAAAGAUGGCUUCGGCAUUCGGUCGAGGAGGAGCUUGCGGCGGAUUAGCUUGUUGGUGAGGUAACGGCUCACCAAGGCGACGAUCGGUAGCUGGUCUGAGAGGAUGAUCAGCCACACUGGGACUGAGACACGGCCCAGACUCCUACGGGAGGCAGCAGUGGGGAAUUUUGGACAAUGGGGGCAACCCUGAUCCAGCCAUGCCGCGUGAGUGAAGAAGGCCUUCGGGUUGUAAAGCUCUUUCGGUGGGAACGAAACGGUUACGACUAAUACUUGUGACUACUGACGGUACCUACAGAAGAAGCACCGGCUAACUACGUGCCAGCCGCCGCGGUAAUAC